RNAcentral lists this small RNA (489 nucleotides) under Pan troglodytes (chimpanzee). RNAcentral describes it as "retained intron". The record is from RNAcentral. Lineage: Eukaryota; Metazoa; Chordata; Mammalia; Primates; Hominidae.
GAAUUCUGCUGGCGCUGCAGCUGCAGAAUGGUCGGCGGUGGCGGGAAGCGCAGGCCCGGCGGGGAGGGGCCGCAGUGUGAAAAAACAACUGAUGUGAAGAAAAGUAAAUUCUGUGAAGCUGAUGUCUCCAGUGACCUUCGAAAAGAAGUAGAAAAUCAUUAUAAGCUUUCUUUACCUGAAGAUUUCUAUCACUUCUGGAAGUUCUGUGAAGAACUUGAUCCUGAAAAGCCAUCUGAUUCACUUUCUGCAAGCCUUGGACUUCAAUUAGUUGGUCCUUAUGAUAUCCUUGCUGGAAAACAUAAAAUGAAGAAAAAAUCAACAGGCCUGAAUUUUAACCUUCACUGGAGGUUUUACUAUGAUCCUCCUGAGUUCCAGACCAUUAUUAUUGGAGAUAAUAAAACUCAGUACCACAUGGGGUAUUUCAGGUAAAGGAUCUUUUCUUCGCCUCUAAAAUACAGCUGCUGUCCUGCUAAUGAGGAUAAAUAGUUA